GAUGAACGCUGACAGAAUGCUUAACACAUGCAAGUCUUUGGCGAAGCUGUGCUUGCACAGCCUAGCCAAGGCGGACGGGUGAGUAACGCGUAAGGAACUUGCCCUGCAGUCAGGGAUAACAGACGGAAACGACUGAUAAGACCUGGUAAAGUCAGGCGGACUCAUGUCCAGCCUGAUGAAAAGAGAUGCUGCAGGAGAGCCUUGCGUCCUAUUAGCUUGUUGGUGGGGUAACGGCCCACCAAGGCGAUGAUAGGUAGCCGGCCUGAGAGGGUGGACGGCCACAAGGGGACUGAGAUACGGCCCUUACUCCUACGGGAGGCAGCAGUGGGGAAUAUUGGACAAUGGGGGCAACCCUGAUCCAGCAAUUCUGUGUGCACGAUGAAGGUUUUCGGAUUGUAAAGUGCUUUCAGCAGGGAAGAAAAAAGUGACGGUACCUGCAGAAGAAGCGACGGCUAAAUACGUG
This 463-nucleotide ribosomal RNA is filed under the name uncultured bacterium. RNAcentral describes it as "partial 16S ribosomal RNA". It matches the Rfam family "Bacterial small subunit ribosomal RNA", at positions 28 to 507 of the family's 1533-position model. The record is from RNAcentral.